Molecule: ribosomal RNA, 832 nt
Filed under: uncultured bacterium
Lineage: Bacteria
Description: bacterial SSU rRNA
Rfam family: Bacterial small subunit ribosomal RNA
Source: RNAcentral
AGAGUUUGAUCCUGGCUCAGGAUGAACGCUGGCUACAGGCUUAACACAUGCAAGUCGUGGGGAAACGACUGGGGAGCUUGCUUCCCAGGGCGUCGACCGGCGCACGGGUGAGUAACGCGUAUCCAACCUGCCCGCAAGUGGGGAAUAACCCGCGGAAACGCGGCCUAAUGCCCCAUGUGGUUCGAAGAGGGCAUCUGACUUGAACCAAAGAUUCAUCGCUUGCGGAUGGGGAUGCGUCUGAUUAGGUAGUCGGCGGGGUAACGGCCCACCGAGCCUUCGAUCAGUAGGGGUUCUGAGAGGAAGGUCCCCCACAUUGGAACUGAGACACGGUCCAAACUCCUACGGGAGGCAGCAGUGAGGAAUAUUGGUCAAUGGGAUGGCCUGAACCAGCCAAGUAGCGUGCGGGAUGACGGCCCUAUGGGUUGUAAACCGCUUUUGCAGGGGAAUAAAGUGCGGUACGCGUACCGUUUUGUAUGUACCCUGAGAAUAAGGACCGGCUAAUUCCGUGCCAGCAGCCGCGGUAAUACGGAAGGUCCGGGCGUUAUCCGGAUUUAUUGGGUUUAAAGGGAGCGCAGGCUGGAUAUUAAGCGUGACGUGAAAUGCCGCGGCUCAACCGUGGAAGUGCGUCGCGAACUGGUGUCCUUGAGUGUAUUCGACGUCAGCGGAAUUCGUGGUGUAGCGGUGAAAUGCUUAGAUAUCACGAAGAACUCCGAUUGCGAAGGCAGCUGGCGAGGCUACAACUGACGCUAAAGCUCGAAGGUGCGGGUAUCGAACAGGAUUAGAUACCCUGGUAGUCCGCACGGUAAACGAUGAAUGCCCGCUGUAUGCGAUA